This 568-nucleotide small RNA is filed under the name Pongo abelii (Sumatran orangutan). Its description in RNAcentral is "retained intron". Lineage: Eukaryota; Metazoa; Chordata; Mammalia; Primates; Hominidae. The record is from RNAcentral.
UGGAUUGUAAUACGAAAUAAUUUAAAAGGGCUUGCUCAUAUAUAGGAAAAUUGCAUAUGGUCCUAGUAUUAAAUUCUUAUUGCUUACUGAUUUUUUUGAGUUAAGAGUUGUUAUAUGCUAGAAUAUGAGAAUGUGAAUAUAAAUAAGAGAAGAAAAAAGAAUAAAGUAGAUUGAGUCUCCAAUUUUAUGUAAGCUUCAGAAGAACUGGUUUGUUUACAUGCAAGCUUAUAGUUGAAAUAUUUUUCAGGAAUUACAUGAAUGACAGUCUUCGAACCAAUGUGUUUGUUCGAUUUCAACCAGAGACUAUAGCAUGUGCUUGCAUCUACCUUGCAGCUAGAGCACUUCAGAUUCCAUUGCCAACUCGUCCCCAUUGGUUUCUUCUUUUUGGUACUACAGAAGAGGAAAUCCAGGAAAUCUGCAUAGAAACACUUAGGCUUUAUACCAGAAAAAAGGUAUUCUGUAUUUACUCGUUUGUGCCAACAUGCUGAGUCUAAGCUACUCUAAGGAAGAAAUACUAACUUUUUUUGUCUCCUACAGCCAAACUAUGAAUUACUGGAAAAAGAAGUAG